This 253-nucleotide ribosomal RNA is filed under the name uncultured bacterium. RNAcentral describes it as "partial 16S ribosomal RNA". It matches the Rfam family "Bacterial small subunit ribosomal RNA", at positions 524 to 776 of the family's 1533-position model. The record is from RNAcentral.
GACAGAGGGUGCAAACGUUGUUCGGAAUUACUGGGCGUAAAGCGUGUGUAGGCGGCUCCGCAAGUCGGAUGUGAAAGCCCCGGGCUCAACCCGGGAAGUGCACUCGAUACUGCAGAGCUAGAGUGUCGGAGAGGUUGGUGGAAUUCUCGGUGUAGAGGUGAAAUUCGUAGAUAUCGAGAGGAACACCGAUGGCGAAGGCAGCCUCCUGGGCCAGCACUGACGCUCAUGCACGAAAGCGUGGGGAGCAAACAGG